GACGAACGCUGGCGGCGUGCUUAACACAUGCAAGUCGAACGGAAAGGCCCUGCUUUUGUGGGGUGCUCGAGUGGCGAACGGGUGAGUAACACGUGAGUAAUCUGCCCUUGACUUUGGGAUAACUUCAGGAAACUGGGGCUAAUACCGGAUAGGAGCUCCUGCUGCAUGGUGGGGGGUGGAAAGUUUCGGCGGUUGGGGAUGGACUCGCGGCUUAUCAGCUUGUUGGUGGGGUAGUGGCUUACCAAGGCUUUGACGGGUAGCCGGCCUGAGAGGGUGACCGGCCACAUUGGGACUGAGAUACGGCCCAGACUCCUACGGGAGGCAGCAGUGGGGAAUAUUGCACAAUGGGCGGAAGCCUGAUGCAGCAACGCCGCGUGCGGGAUGACGGCCUUCGGGUUGUAAACCGCUUUCGCCUGUGACGAAGCGUGAGUGACGGUAAUGGGUAAAGAAGCACCGGCUAACUACGUG
RNAcentral lists this ribosomal RNA (468 nucleotides) under uncultured bacterium. Its description in RNAcentral is "partial 16S ribosomal RNA". It matches the Rfam family "Bacterial small subunit ribosomal RNA", at positions 28 to 507 of the family's 1533-position model. The record is from RNAcentral.